Molecule: ribosomal RNA, 491 nt
Filed under: uncultured bacterium
Lineage: Bacteria
Description: partial 16S ribosomal RNA
Rfam family: Bacterial small subunit ribosomal RNA
Source: RNAcentral
AGUGAACGCUGGCGGUAGGCCUAACACAUGCAAGUCGAACGGCAGCACAGUAAGAGCUUGCUCUUACGGGUGGCGAGUGGCGGACGGGUGAGGAAUACAUCGGAAUCUACUUUUUCGUGGGGGAUAACGUAGGGAAACUUACGCUAAUACCGCAUACGACCUACGGGUGAAAGCAGGGGUUUUUGGAACUUUGGGGGAUUGAUGGAGCGAUGUCGGAUUAGCUAGUUGGGGGGGUAAAGGCCCACCAAGGCGACGAUCCGUAGCUGGUCUGAGAGGAUGAUCAGCCACACUGGAACUGAGACACGGUCCAGACUCCUACGGGAGGCAGCAGUGGGGAAUAUUGGACAAUGGGCGCAAGCCUGAUCCAGCCAUACCGCGUGGGUGAAGAAGGCCUUCGGGUUGUAAAGCCCUUUUGUUGGGAAAGAAAAGCAGCAGGUUAAUACCCCGCUGUUCUGACGGUACCCAAAGAAUAAGCACCGGCUAACUUCGUG